ACCGAUAGUGAACCAGUACCGUGAGGGAAAGGCGAAAAGAACCCCGGCGAGGGGAGUGAAAAAGAACCUGAAACCGUGUACGUACAAGCAGUGGGAGCCUCUUUAUGGGGUGACUGCGUACCUUUUGUAUAAUGGGUCAGCGACUUAUAUUCUGUAGCAAGGUUAACCGAAUAGGGGAGCCGAAGGGAAACCGAGUCUUAACUGGGCGUUAAGUUGCAGGGUAUAGACCCGAAACCCGGUGAUCUAGCCAUGGGCAGGUUGAAGGUUGGGUAACACUAACUGGAGGACCGAACCGACUAAUGUUGAAAAAUUAGCGGAUGACUUGUGGCUGGGGGUGAAAGGCCAAUCAAACCGGGAGAUAGCUGGUUCUCCCCGAAAGCUAUUUAGGUAGCGCCUCGUGAAUUCAUCUCCGGGGGUAGAGCACUGUUUCGGCAAGGGGGUCAUCCCGACUUACCAACCCGAUGCAAACUGCGAAUACCGGAGAAUGUUAUCACGGGAGACACACGGCGGGUGCUAACGUCCGUCGUGAAGAGGGAAACAACCCAGACCGCCAGCUAAGGUCCCAAAGUCAUGGUUAAGUGGGAAACGAUGUGGGAAGGCCCAGACAGCCAGGAUGUUGGCUUAGAAGCAGCCAUCAUUUAAAGAAAGCGUAAUAGCUCACUGGUCGAGUCGGCCUGCGCGGAAGAUGUAACGGGGCUAAACCAUG
Molecule: ribosomal RNA, 706 nt
Filed under: Escherichia coli
Lineage: Bacteria; Pseudomonadati; Pseudomonadota; Gammaproteobacteria; Enterobacterales; Enterobacteriaceae
Description: partial 23S ribosomal RNA
Rfam family: Bacterial large subunit ribosomal RNA
Source: RNAcentral